This 2117-nucleotide ribosomal RNA is filed under the name gut metagenome. RNAcentral's name for it is "bacterial LSU rRNA". It matches the Rfam family "Bacterial large subunit ribosomal RNA", at positions 14 to 2144 of the family's 2925-position model. The record is from RNAcentral.
AGGGCGCAUGGCGGAUGCCUUGGCUCUCGGAGGCGAUGAAGGACGUGAUAAGCUGCGAUAAGCCGCGGGUAGGUGCAAAUGACCUUUGAUCCGCGGAUUUCCGAAUGGGACAACCCAAUAUCUUGAAGAGGUAUUAUCCUACUAAGUAGGAGGCAAACGCAGGGAACUGAAACAUCUUAGUACCUGUAGGAAGAGAAAAUAAAUAAUGAUUCCCCUAGUAGUGGCGAGCGAACGGGGAACAGCCCAAACCAUAUGUGUUACGGCAUGUAUGGGGUUGUAGGACCACGUCGUGGGACGACAGUUAGUGAGUAGAAUGAUCUGGAAAGUUCAGUCAUAGACGGUGAUAACCCGGUAUACGAAGCUAACUUAACCCUAGUGGUAUCCUGAGUAGCGCGGGACACGAGAAAUCUUGCGUGAAUCUGCCGGGACCAUCCGGUAAGGCUAAAUACUCCCGAGAGACCGAUAGCGAACCAGUACUGUGAAGGAAAGGUGAAAAGCACUUCGAACAGAAGAGUGAAAUAGUCCCUGAAACCAUGCGCCUACAAGCGGUCGGAGCAGCUUUAUGCUGUGACGGCGUGCCUUUUGCAUAAUGAACCUACGAGUUACUUUUUCCGGCAAGGUUAAGGAUCUUGAGAUCCGCAGCCGAAGCGAAAGCGAGUCUGAACAGGGCGGAUAGUCGGAAGGAGUAGACGCGAAACCAAGUGAUCUACCCUUGGCCAGGUUGAAGGACAGGUAACACUGUCUGGAGGACCGAACCGAUAAGCGUUGAAAAGCUUCCGGAUGAGCUGAGGGUGGGGGUGAAAGGCUAAUCAAACUUGGAGAUAGCUCGUACUCCCCGAAAUGCAUUUAGGUGCAGCCUUGAUUUAUACUAAUAUGAGGUAGAGCGACUGAUAAGAUGCGAGGGCUUCGCCGCCUAUCAAGUCUUGACAAACUCCGAAUGCGUAUUAGUUCUAUAUCAGGAGUGAGGGCAUGGGUGCUAAGGUCCAUGUCCUAAAGGAGAACAAUCCGGACCAUCAGCUAAGGUCCCGAAAUAACCACUAAGUUGAUCUAACGAAGUCAGAUUGCUAAGACAGCUAGGAUGUUGGCUUGGAAGCAGCCAUUCAUUUAAAGAGUGCGUAACAGCUCACUAGUCGAGGAGUUUGGCGUGGAUAAUAAUCGGGCAUAAGUGGUUUACCGAAGCUAUGGGAUGUUUAAUACAUCGGUAGGGGAGCAUUCCACUCCGCGUCGAAGGUGAAGCGUGAGCUUUGCUGGAGCGUGUGGAAAAGCAAAUGUAGGUAUAAGUAACGAUAAAGGGGGUGAGAAACCCCCUCGCCGAAAGACUAAGGUUUCCUGAUCAACGCUAAUCGGAUCAGGGUUAGUCGGGUCCUAAGGCUCAGCCGAACGGUGAGGCCGAUGGCAGAACAGGUUAAUAUUCCUGUACUACCUUAAAGAGUGACGUGGAGACGGAGGCGUGACAGUGCCGCGGACUGACGGAAUAGUCCGUUGAAGGGUGUAGAUGUUGAUCGGGGUAGGCAAAUCCGCUCCGAGAGUCGAACCUGAUAGUAUGGAGCGUUCUUCGGAACAAUCCAAUAGCGCAUGUAAUCAUACUCCCAAGAAAAUCCGCUAAACUUAAUCUUUAAGGUACCCGUACCGUAAACGGACACACGUAGUCGGGUUGAAUAUACUAAGGCGCUUGAGUGAUUCACGGUUAAGGAACUAGGCAAAUUGACCCUGUAACUUCGGGAUAAAGGGUCCCCACUGUAAGGUGGGGCGCAGAGAAUCGGUCCAGGCAACUGUUUAACAAAAACACAGGGCUGUGCAAAAUUGAAAGAUGAAGUAUACAGCCUGACACCUGCCCGGUGCUGGAAGGUUAAGAGGAGAUGUCAUCGCAAGAGAAGCAUUGAAUUGAAGCCCCAGUAAACGGCGGCCGUAACUAUAACGGUCCUAAGGUAGCGAAAUUCCUUGUCGGGUAAGUUCCGACCUGCACGAAUGGUGUAAUGAUCUGGACACUGUCUCAACCGUGAGCUCAGUGAAAUUGUAGUAUCGGUGAAGAUGCCGAUUACCCGCGAUGGGACGAAAAGACCCCGUGAACCUUUACUAUAGCUUAACAUUGAAUUUGGGUAAUUGAUGUGUAGGAU